Long non-coding RNA from Oncorhynchus keta (chum salmon), 1563 nucleotides. RefSeq lists it as uncharacterized. The record is from RefSeq and is a predicted model, not a curated record. Lineage: Eukaryota; Metazoa; Chordata; Actinopteri; Salmoniformes; Salmonidae. The transcript is spliced from 3 exons.
UGAUCCCUCCUACCGCACGUCAGGCAGACUUUGCUUUAGUGGUGACUGUUUAGGAUAUUGAUCCCUCCUACCGCACGUCAGGCAGACUUUGCGUUAGUGGUGACUGUUUAGGAUAUUGAUCCCUCCUACCGCAGGUCAGGCAGACUUUGCUUUAGUGGUGACUGUUUAGGAUAUUGAUCCCUCCUACCGCAGGUCAGGCAGACUUUGCUUUAGUGGUGACUGUUUAGGAUAUUGAUCCCUCCUACCGCAGGUCAGGCAGACUUUGCUUUAGUGGUGACUGUUUAGGAUAUUGAUCCCUCCUACCGCAGGUCAGGCAGACUUUGCUUUAGUGGUGACUGUUUAGGAUAUUGAUCCCUCCUACCGCAGGUCAGGCAGACUUUGCUUUAGUGGUGACUGUUUAGGAUAUUGAUCCCUCCUACCGCAGGUCAGGCAGACUUUGCUUUAGUGGUGACUGUUUAGGAUAUUGAUCCCUCCUACCGCAGGUCAGGCGGACUUUGCUUUAGUGGUGACUGUUUAGGAUAUUGAUCCCUCCUACCGCAGGUCAGGCGGACUUUGCUUUAGUGGUGACUGUUUAGGAUAUUGAUCCCUCCUACCGCAGGUCAGGCAGACUUUGCUUUAGUGGUGACUGUUUAGGAUAUUGAUCCCUCCUACCGCAGGUCAGGCGGACUUUGCUUUAGUGGUGACUGUUUAGGAUAUUGAUCCCUCCUACCGCAGGUCAGGCGGACUUUGCUUUAGUGGUGACUGUUUAGGAUAUUGAUCCCUCCUACCGCAGGUCAGGCAGACUUUGCUUUAGUGGUGACUGUUUAGGAUAUUGAUCCCUCCUACCGCAGGUCAGGCAGACUUUGCUUUAGUGGUGACUGUUUAGGAUAUUGAUCCCUCCUACCGCAGGUCAGGCAGACUUUGCUUUAGUGGUGACUGUUUAGGAUAUUGAUCCCUCCUACCGCAGGUCAGGCGGACUUUGCUUUAGUGGUGACUGUUUAGGAUAUUGAUCCCUCCUACCGCAGGUCAGGCGGACUUUGCUUUAGUGGUGACUGUUUAGGAUAUUGAUCCCUCCUACCGCAGGUCAGGCAGACUUUGCUUUAGUGGUGACUGUUUAGGAUAUUGAUCCCUCCUACCGCAGGUCAGGCGGACUUUGCUUUAGUGGUGACUGUUUAGGAUAUUGAUCCCUCCUACCGCAGGUCAGGCAGACUUUGCUUUAGUGGUGACUGUUUAGGAUAUUGAUCCCUCCUACCGCAGGUCAGGCAGACUUUGCUUUAGUGGUGACUGUUUAGGAUAUUGAUCCCUCCUACCGCAGGUCAGGCAGACUUUGCUUUAGUGGUGACUGUUUAGGAUAUUGAUCCCUCCUACCGCAGGUCAGGCAGACUUUGCUUUAGUGGUGACUGUUUAGGAUAUUGAUCCCUCCUACCGCAGGUCAGGCAGACUUUGCUUUAGUGGUGACUGUUUAGGAUAUUGAUCCCUCCUACCGCAGGUCAGGCAGACUUUGCUUUAGUGGUGACUGUUUAGGAUAUUGAUCCCUCCUACCGCAGGUCAGGCAGACUUUGCUUUAGUGGUGACUGUUUAGGA